GACGAACGCUGGCGGCGUGCUUAACACAUGCAAGUCGAACGGAAAGGCCCUGCUUUUGUGGGGUGCUCGAGUGGCGAACGGGGGCGUAACACGUGAGUAACCUGCCCUUGACUUUGGGGUAACUUCAGGAAACUGGGGCUAAUACCGGAUAGGAGCUCCUGCUGCAUGGUGGGGGUUGGAAAGUUUCGGCGGUUGGGGAUGGACUCGCGGCUUAUCAGCUUGUUGGUGGGGUAGUGGUUUACCAAGGCUUUGACGGGUAGCCGGCCUGAGAGGGUGACCGGCCACAUUGGGACUGAGAUACGGACCAGACUCCUACGGGAGGCAGCAGGGGGGAAUAUUGCACAAUGGGCGGAAGCCUGAUGCAGAAACGCCGCGUGCGGGAUGACGGCCUUCGGGUUGUAAACCGCUUUCGCUUGUGACGAAGCGUGAGUGACGGUAAUGGGUAAAGAAGCACCGGCUAACUACGUG
Molecule: ribosomal RNA, 468 nt
Filed under: uncultured bacterium
Lineage: Bacteria
Description: partial 16S ribosomal RNA
Rfam family: Bacterial small subunit ribosomal RNA
Source: RNAcentral